CCUACGGGAGGCAGCAGUGAGGAAUAUUGGUCAAUGGACGAGAGUCUGAACCAGCCAAGUAGCGUGAAGGAUGACUGCCCUAUGGGUUGUAAACCUCUUUUAUAUGGGAAUAAAACGUUUCACGCGUGGGAUUUUGUAUGUACCAUAUGAAUACGGAUCGGCUAACUCCGUGCCAGCAGCCGCGGUAAUACGGAGGAUCCGAGCGUUAUCCGGAUUUAUUGGGUUUAAAGGGAGCGUAGGUGGAUUGUUAAGUCAGUUGUGAAAGUUUGCGGCUCAACCGUAUAAUUGCAGGUGAAACUGGCAGUCUUGAGUGCAGUAGAGGUGGGCGGAAUUCGUGGUGUAGCGGUGAAAUGCUUAGAUAUCACGAAGAACUCCGAUUGCGAAGGCAGUUCACUGGACUGCAACUGACACUGAGGCUCGAAAGUGUGGGUAUCAAACAGGAUUAGAUACCCGUGUAGUC
Molecule: ribosomal RNA, 460 nt
Filed under: uncultured bacterium
Lineage: Bacteria
Description: partial 16S ribosomal RNA
Rfam family: Bacterial small subunit ribosomal RNA
Source: RNAcentral